CAUUUUGCAGGCCAUUCGACUUAAGUAUCUGCAUCCAGAUGGUGAACUCCAAAACUAUGCUUUGAAUAUUAUUGGUAUGCUUCACGGCGAUACAUCAGUUGACGCCCAUGCACUGGCAUGCGUUCUCUACAUCUUACGAGUAGGUGUCACCGAUCAAAUGUUGGAACCUACUCAAAGGAGCUUCUCUGUGGUCCUAGGAAAGCAGCUUCAGUCUCCAGAUGCUAGUCCAUCCAUGAAAAUUGCUGCUCUUCGCACCUUGUCAUAUACCUUAAAAACACUGGGAGAAGUAAGAGUUACUACUUUAAAUUUU
This is a non-coding RNA of Carica papaya (papaya), 310 nucleotides long. The record is from RefSeq and is a predicted model, not a curated record. NCBI's taxonomy places the organism in Eukaryota, Viridiplantae, Streptophyta, Magnoliopsida, Brassicales, Caricaceae.